GAUGAACGCUGGCGGCGUGCCUAAUACAUGCAAGUCGAGCGAACAGACGAGGAGCUUGCUCCUCUGACGUUAGCGGCGGACGGGUGAGUAACACGUGGAUAACCUACCUAUAAGACUGGGAUAACUUCGGGAAACCGGAGCUAAUACCGGAUAAUAUAUUGAACCGCAUGGUUCAAUAGUGAAAGACGGUUUUGCUGUCACUUAUAGAUGGAUCCGCGCCGCAUUAGCUAGUUGGUAAGGUAACGGCUUACCAAGGCAACGAUGCGUAGCCGACGUGAGAGGGUGAUGGCCCACUCUGGAGCUGAGACACGACCCAGGCACCGACGGGAGGCAGCAGUAGGGAAGGUACCGAAAUGGGCGAAAGCCUGACGGAGCAACGCCGCGGGGGUGAUGAAGGUCUGCGGAUCGUAAAACUCUGUUAUUAGGGAAAAACAAAUGUGUAAGUAACGAUGCACGUCUGGACGGUACCUAAUCAGAAAGCCACGGCUAACUACGU
RNAcentral lists this ribosomal RNA (496 nucleotides) under uncultured bacterium. Its description in RNAcentral is "partial 16S ribosomal RNA". It matches the Rfam family "Bacterial small subunit ribosomal RNA", at positions 28 to 506 of the family's 1533-position model. The record is from RNAcentral.